UACGUAGGUGACUAGCGUUGUCCGGAUUUACUGGGCGUAAAGAGCGCGCAGGCGGUCGUUCAAGUCGAGUGUGAAAGCCCCCGGCUCAACUGGGGAGGGUCUCUUGAUACUGAUCGACUCGAAGGCAGGAGAGGGAAGCGGAAUUCCCGGUGUAGUGGUGAAAUGCGUAGAUAUCGGGAGGAACACCAGUGGCGAAGGCGGCUUCCUGGCCUGUUCUUGACGCUGAGGCGCGAAAGCUAGGGGAGCAAACGGG
This 253-nucleotide ribosomal RNA is filed under the name uncultured bacterium. RNAcentral's name for it is "partial 16S ribosomal RNA". It matches the Rfam family "Bacterial small subunit ribosomal RNA", at positions 524 to 776 of the family's 1533-position model. The record is from RNAcentral.